UCGAGAAUCUUCCACAAUGGACGCAAGCCUGAUCCAGCCAUGCCGCGUGAGUGAAGAAGGCCUUAGGGUUGUAAAACUCUUUCGUCGGGGACGAUAAUGACGGUACCCGAAGAAGAAGCUCCGGCUAACUUCGUGCCAGCAGCCGCGGUAAUACGAAGGGAGCUAGCGUUGUUCGGAAUCACUGGGCGUAAAGCGCACGUAGGCGGAUAGUUAAGUCAGGGGUGAAAUCCUGGGGCUCAACCCCAGAACUGCCUUUGAUACUGGCUGUCUCGAGGUCGAGAGAGGUUGGUGGAAUUCCUAGUGUAGAGGUGAAAUUCGUAGAUAUUAGGAAGAACACCAGUGGCGAAGGCGGCUCACUGGUCCGGUACUGACGCUGAGGUGCGAAAGCGUGGGGAGCAAACAGGAUUAGAUACCCCCGUAGUCCCUGAGCGGGCUGGCAAGGCGCA
RNAcentral lists this ribosomal RNA (446 nucleotides) under uncultured bacterium. RNAcentral describes it as "bacterial SSU rRNA". It matches the Rfam family "Bacterial small subunit ribosomal RNA", at positions 355 to 824 of the family's 1533-position model. The record is from RNAcentral.